Molecule: unclassified non-coding RNA, 339 nt
Filed under: soil metagenome
Description: partial contains 5.8S ribosomal RNA, internal transcribed spacer 2, and large subunit ribosomal RNA
Rfam family: 5.8S ribosomal RNA (bases 1-120)
Source: RNAcentral
GAUGAAGAACGUAGCGAAAUGCGAUAAGUAAUGUGAAUUGCAGAAUUCAGUGAAUCAUCGAAUCUUUGAACGCACAUUGCGCCCGCCAGUAUUCUGGCGGGCAUGUCUGUCCGAGCGUCAUUUCAACCAUCAAGCCCCCGGGCUUGUGUUGGGGACCUGCGGCUGCCCGCAGGCCCUGAAAACCAGUGGCGGGCUCGCUGUCACACCGAGCGUAGUAGCAAUCACCUCGCUCAGGGCGUGCUGCGGGUUCCGGCCGUUAAACAGCCUUACAAAACCCAAGGUUGACCUCGGAUCAGGUAGGAAGACCCGCUGAACUUAAGCAUAUCAAUAAGCGGAGGA